ACCCUCUCAGGGUCGCACCUGGAGAAUUUCCAGUACUCUUCCAGUCUCGACUACAGGAGGGAGAGACAAGCAGAGGCAUACCCAUUCCAAUCCCAGUUUGGGCAGUAGCUAGCGAAUGGAAGGCCAUCCGAUACAAGU
Small nucleolar RNA from Ornithorhynchus anatinus (platypus), 138 nucleotides. The record is from RefSeq and is a predicted model, not a curated record. NCBI's taxonomy places the organism in Eukaryota, Metazoa, Chordata, Mammalia, Monotremata, Ornithorhynchidae.